GUGCUCACUUCGGCAGCACAUAUACUAAAAUUGGAACGAUACAGAGAUUAGCAUGGCCCCUGCGCAAGGAUGACACGUAAAUUCCUGAAGCAGUCCAUAUUUUU
RNAcentral lists this small nuclear RNA (104 nucleotides) under Rhinolophus ferrumequinum (greater horseshoe bat). The record is from RNAcentral. Lineage: Eukaryota; Metazoa; Chordata; Mammalia; Chiroptera; Rhinolophidae.